Molecule: long non-coding RNA, 612 nt
Filed under: Physcomitrium patens
Lineage: Eukaryota; Viridiplantae; Streptophyta; Bryopsida; Funariales; Funariaceae
Description: long non-coding RNA (PPAT_LNC008564)
Source: RNAcentral
GACUGCGAUUGAUGACUGACAUGGUUGGAACAUCUGCAUCGGUCUAAUGAGGUUCAAUUGCAAAGCUACUAAGGGUGCGAGUUCGACUGCUGGGUGUUUUGUAAUGCGGUAAGCUUUUCUUGGAGCUGCAGUUCAAAUUAACUAGUUCAUUUCCUCUGUCGCGGACCCGCGCUUAUUGCAGAACAGCUUGUCUAGCGUAAUUACUCGGAGUAAACAAGUAGAGUGCUGGAGAAUGCUUGCCCAGUAUACACGCGGCGAUACAUCAUUAAAGACAUGAUGUGUGUGAGGAUAAUAAAUAGGUCAUAAUUUGUAGGUAGGUAGACAAAAAAACAAAUUUGUACAGGUCACAGAUGAAUGUGUAAAUGUGACAUUCUUCUCGAGAGGAAAAAGAGGAUGGUGACUUCCGCGUUAUUUACUAUAUAUAUAGAUAGAUAUAUAUAUAUAUAUAUAUAUAUAUAUGUACAUAUAUAUAUAUAUAUAUAUAUUUAAGAUCAGUUUACAAUCCAAGAGUUUUAACAUGGUUGGAAGGGCACCACAGAAAAGGAUAUAAUUUCUCUUUCCAACACGAAAGAAUAAGCUACCUAGACUCAUUGCAAUGAUGGAUGCCAGUGA